CAGCAGUAUUCCACAAUCUUCUUGUCUUCAGUUUCUCCUUUGCCUAUAUUUCUCUCUCUCUAAUCUUCGAUUUCCGCACUGCUCAGAUUCGCAAGUUGAUCACUAGCUAGCUGUCACGAUGAAGCCAGAGUCCAAGAAAAACCGCAAUAAAAGCACCAACAAAUCAGAAGGCAGUACUGCUUCACCUUCAUGUUACGAUUUAACAGCUCUUUCACAGGCCCUUGAUGAUCAAGAACGUGUAAAUAAAAAUAAAAAUAAAGAUAAAUCUUCUUUUGACUUGAGCAAUUUAUCAGAGGCACUUAAUAAUGUAGCUAAAGAGGGGAAUAGAAAGGAGAUAAAAAGGCUGGGAGUACUGAGAUCAAUUGCCCAGUCACAGGAAGAAGUGAAAACGAGGCAAAUGAGAGCAAGGAGACAACGGUAUAUUUGUGAAACAUGGAGCACGAGGGAGAUGGCUGGUGGGAGAGUGCAUGGAGGGAGGAGUUUUUUUCCUAUUCCUAUCUUUAGUGUGGGUGGUACGAGGAGAGGGAGGGUUGCACAUUGGUUUGUGCGUGGAUUUUACAGAACAGAGAACACUGUAGAGGAAGCAUUGGAUGAUAUUUCUUAAGUAGGUUGAUGUGGUAGUGGAUAUUUGGCAGGAUUGCUAUAAAUGGUGGCAUUAACUUUUACUUUCAAUUUUGUGAUUAAUGAAGAGUGCUCAAUUUUCAGUCA
This is a long non-coding RNA of Populus nigra (black poplar), 708 nucleotides long. RefSeq lists it as uncharacterized. The transcript has 2 exons. Lineage: Eukaryota; Viridiplantae; Streptophyta; Magnoliopsida; Malpighiales; Salicaceae. The record is from RefSeq and is a predicted model, not a curated record.